AGAGUUUGAUCAUGGCUCAGAAUGAACGCUGGCGGCGUGCUUAACACAUGCAAGUCGAGCGAGAACGUCCUUUCGGGGAUUAGUACAGCGGCGGACGGGUGAGAAAUACAUGAGAACCUACCCUUUAGUGAAGGAUACCCUUGAGAAAUUAAGGUUAAUACUGCAUACGUCCCUACGGGGAGAAAGGCGGCUUUAUGCUGUCGCUAGAGGAUGGGCUUAUGCGCUAUCAGCUUGUUGGUGAGGUAAAGGCUUACCAAGGCUAUGACGGCUAGCCGGCCUGAGAGGGUGUACGGCCACACUGGAACUGAGAAACGGUCCAGACUCCUACGGGAGGCAGCAGUGGGGAAUAUUGCGCAAUGGGCGAAAGCCUGACGCAGCGACGCCGCGUGGAGGAUGAAGGUUUUCGGAUUGUAAACUCCUGUUAAGUGGGAAGAAAGUUCUAUCUUUAAUAGAGAUAGGGUAUGACGGUACCAUUAGAGAAAGCACCGGCUAACUUCGUGCCAGCAGCCGCGGUAAUACGAGGGGUGCAAGCGUUAUUCGGAUUUACUGGGCGUAAAGAGUGUGUAGACGGUUUGCCAAGUCUGCUGUUAAAUUCCUCGGCUUAACCGAGGGUCAGCAGUAGAAACUGGUGGACUAGAGUGUGGGAGAGAGAAGUGGAAUUCCCGGAGUAGCGGUAAAAUGCGUAGAUCUCGGGAGGAACACCGAUGGCGAAGGCAGCUCACUAAAUUGUAACUGACGCUGAGGCACGAAAGCGUGGGGAUCAAACAGGAUUAGAUACCCUAGUAGUCC
Molecule: ribosomal RNA, 789 nt
Filed under: uncultured bacterium
Lineage: Bacteria
Description: bacterial SSU rRNA
Rfam family: Bacterial small subunit ribosomal RNA
Source: RNAcentral